UGGCCACUUAAAAGACAUGGCUGCAAACAAAUUUGUGGCUACCCUGUAGCAAAGAGUGUAACAUGUAAAUGCAUGUAUCAUUUCUAAAAUAUAUAUAUAUAUAUAUAUAUAUAUGUAAUGCCAAUUUUUUUAUAACAUUUACAAUGUUAUAUGGAAUGUUAAAAUCAUUUUUUCGAAUCCCCUAUAUAUUAUUUGUGAAACAUUACAACUUCUUUUUGUAGCCACGUGUCAUCACUACGAUGAUUCUUAGCAUUAUUAGAGAAAUGGGUUGGUCCAUCUAAAUAUAUAAUAAGCUUUUUAUUAAACUAACCAUAAAUUCAUUAUUAAUGUCAUUUAUUAUUUCCUUAAAUAAAGAUUACGGAAUUGCCUAAUGUGGGUAAAGUAUAUAUGACAAUUAAUGAUUUUGAAUAAUAAAGAUCUGAUAAAAAAAAUAAUGUAUCUUCUAUCAAAUUUGUUUAAUUUUAAACUAUUAAAAUAUUUUUUAUAAAACCACAAUAACCAUAUUAUAAAAAUUUAGUUUUUUCUGUAUAUGUUAUAUUUUAAAUUUUAAAAAACGACUAUAAAAAUGGCACCUGCAUUGACAAAAGAGCAGAAGCUUAUGUGAAGGAAGCUGAAUCUCUUGCCUUGGAGCGAUCACAAAGUUCCACUUGACCUGUGAAACUGCAUCGGCACCCUCUAACCAGCAGCUCACUGUUGCUUAUAUUGAAAUGGUAACUAAUGUUGAUGCUGAACCCAAUGAGUCUCCGGCAGCUUCUCUAUGCAGAGACGUUGGAGUUGAUGGACAAUUGACCACCGACGAUUGUCGACCACCAGAUUCGCUGGUCUGCCAUUGAAAGGUGACUAAAAGACCAGAAACAGGGUGCAGAGUGUUGUGACUGGGUUGAAGGAUGACGUUUCUAGGUUGAAGUAAAGCAUCGACUUGUUGUCGAAGAUGAAUGGAGUGGAUCCUAUUACUCGUCAACAUAUUCCACGUGAGAGUGGUGCAUCUGCUCCAAGUCCUCAUUCUGAUUCUAGCCAAGAACUUAAUCAGCACUCUCCCACUCAUUAACUCUUCAAUCUAUCCUAGGUGUAUUGUGUUUCCUUGUGCAAUAUUAAUCUAUGUCUUUUGUAAAAUCAUUAGAUGUUUUCUUUAACUUAAAAUUGUAAUGAUAUUUUGAAUGAUUUAGCUAAUUAUGUCUUUUUUGUAUAAUUAA
This is a long non-coding RNA of Brassica napus (rape), 1193 nucleotides long. RefSeq lists it as uncharacterized. Lineage: Eukaryota; Viridiplantae; Streptophyta; Magnoliopsida; Brassicales; Brassicaceae. The transcript is spliced from 2 exons. The record is from RefSeq and is a predicted model, not a curated record.